Oncorhynchus keta (chum salmon) is the source of this 1173-nucleotide long non-coding RNA. RefSeq lists it as uncharacterized. NCBI's taxonomy places the organism in Eukaryota, Metazoa, Chordata, Actinopteri, Salmoniformes, Salmonidae. The transcript is spliced from 4 exons. The record is from RefSeq and is a predicted model, not a curated record.
UUGAGCCUUGUGUUCAGAUCUCUCUUGAGCCUUGUGUCCAGGUCUCUCUUGAGCCUUGUGUCCAGGUCUCUCUUGGGCCUUGUGUCCAGGUCUCUCUUGGGCCUUGUGUUCAGAUCUCUCUUGGGCCUUGUGUCCUGGUCUCUCUUGGGCCUUGUGUUCAGAUCUCUCUUGAGCCUUGUGUCCUGGUCUCUCUUGAGCCUUGUGUCCUGGUCUCUCUUGAGCCUUGUGUCCAGGUCUCUCUUGAGACUUGUGUCCAGGUCUCUCUUGAGCCUUGUGUUCAGAUCUCUCUUGAGCCUUGUGUCCAGAUCUCUCUUGAGCCUUGUGUUCAGAUCUCUCUUGGGCCUUGUGUCCAGGUCUCUCUUGGGCCUUGUGUCCAGGUCUCUCUUGAGCCUUGUGUCCAGGUCUCUCUUGAGCCUUGUGUCCAGGUCUCUCUUGAGCCUUGUGUCCUGGUCUCUCUUGAGCCUUGUGUUCAGAUCUCUCUUGGGCCUUGUGUCCUGGUCUCUCUUGAGCCUUGUGUCCAGGUCACGCUUGAGCCUUGUGUCCAGGUCACGCUUGAGCCUUGUGUCCAGGUCUCUCUUGAGCCUUGUGUCCUGGUCUCUCUUGAGCCUUGUAUCGAGGUCUCUCUUGAGCCUUGUGUCCAGGUCUCUCUUGAGCCUUGUGUCCAGGUCUCCCUUGAGUCCAUGUCUCUUGUGAUAGAAAAAGUACAUAUUUACCUGAUUUGUUUGAUAUUAAUAGUUAACGGUUAUGUACUUAACAAAAAGUAGGACAUUUAUGUUCUGUUUAAUUAUGUGUUUCUGUUAAGAGAUGGUUUCCACUCUAGCUUCCUGCAGUUUGUCUGGGCAUAUGUUCAAGGAAAUUAGAUUUUGCUAGAGAUAGAUUGAGCUGACAAUGACUUGGUGAUUUAAAACCUAAAGCUGGCAUUCCAUAGACAAGAUGUGGUAUGUGUGACUCGAGAUAGCCUGGAAGAGUUUAGAACAAUGCCUCAUUGUCUCAUCGUCCUGGCAUCUGGGUGACAAAGCCGGGUUGGGGUAAAACAACACCCCAUGCAGACAACCAGGAGACUGAGCAGCCAGACCAGUCAGUAAGACGGACCAGCCAGACCAGUCAGUAAGACGGACCAGCCUGACCAGUCAGUAAGACGGACCAGCCUGACCAGUCAGUAAGACCAGUCAG